This 84-nucleotide transfer RNA is filed under the name Fibrobacterota bacterium. Its description in RNAcentral is "tRNA-Leu". It matches the Rfam family "tRNA". From Rfam's summary of the family: Transfer RNA (tRNA) molecules are approximately 80 nucleotides in length. Their secondary structure includes four short double-helical elements and three loops (D, anti-codon, and T loops). Lineage: Bacteria; Pseudomonadati; Fibrobacterota. RNAcentral also lists the same sequence under 2 other names. The record is from RNAcentral.
GCGGUCGUGGUGAAAUUGGUAGACACGCCAGCUUGAGGUGCUGGUGGGGGCAACCCCUUCGCGGUUCAAGUCCGCGCGACCGCA